This 364-nucleotide unclassified non-coding RNA is filed under the name uncultured bacterium. RNAcentral describes it as "contains 16S-23S intergenic spacer region". The record is from RNAcentral.
UCCCGGUUGGCCCGGGCAGUCUUGCCUGAAAAAUACAACAGACAACAAGGGUUGCGCUCGUUGCGGGACUUAACCCAACAUCUCACGACACGAGCUGACGACGGCCAUGCAGCACCUGUCACCAGGUUCCCGAAGGCACGGCACUGUUUCCAGCGCCUUCCUGGGAUGUCAAGCCUUGGUAAGGUUCUUCGCGUAGCCUCGAAUUAAACCACAUCAUCCACCGCUUGUGCGGGUCCCCGUCAAUUCCUUUGAGUUUUAAGCUUGCGCUCGUACUCCCCAGGCGGCACACUUAACGCGUUAGCUUCUCAGCCCAGGGGGUCGAUACCCCAGACUAAUAGUGUGCAUCGUUUACGGCGUGGACUAC